UUCGAAUCCUGCACGACCCACCAAUUUAACAUCAAACUCAGAUGUUGAACGUGAAGGAUAACGUUGCGUCAGCAACGGCCCGUAGGGCGAGGCGAAGCCGAGUCAUCCUGCACGACCCACCA
This 122-nucleotide small RNA is filed under the name Salmonella enterica. Its description in RNAcentral is "partial RtT sRNA". It matches the Rfam family "RtT RNA", at positions 42 to 130 of the family's 130-position model. From Rfam's summary of the family: This family represents a bacterial cis-regulatory element known as RtT RNA. The exact function of RtT is unknown although it is thought that it may be involved in changing the cellular response in relation to amino acid starvation. The record is from RNAcentral. RNAcentral also lists the same sequence under 1 other name. Lineage: Bacteria; Pseudomonadati; Pseudomonadota; Gammaproteobacteria; Enterobacterales; Enterobacteriaceae.